AUUAGUUAGUUGGUGAGGUAACGGCUCACCAAGGCGACGAUCUAUAGGGGUUCUGAGAGGAUGAUCCCCCACACUGGCACUGAGAUACGGGCCAGACUCCUACGGGAGGCAGCAGUAGGGAAUAUUGGUCAAUGGGCGAGAGCCUGAACCAGCCAUGCCGCGUGCAGGAAGACGGCCUUCUGGGUUGUAAACUGCUUUUAUAUGGGAAGAAAAAGGUCUUGCGAGACAAAUUGCCGGUACCAUAUGAAUAAGCACCGGCUAACUCCGUGCCAGCAGCCGCGGUAA
RNAcentral lists this ribosomal RNA (285 nucleotides) under Thalassiosira minuscula. RNAcentral's name for it is "partial Bacterial small subunit ribosomal RNA". It matches the Rfam family "Bacterial small subunit ribosomal RNA", at positions 240 to 523 of the family's 1533-position model. Lineage: Eukaryota; Bacillariophyta; Thalassiosirophyceae; Thalassiosirales; Thalassiosiraceae. The record is from RNAcentral.